UCCGGAAGGAGUCCUCACGCUGGCCGCGGCGUGGUACUUCAACGCCGGACAGGUUAGCGUCCCGGCGGGAGGCAGAGUCGGCUCCCUUUCACCCCAGAAGCUUUUGUUCCCGUAGUCCUGAAGGCCGCGUUUGCACGCCAGUGUGCUGGAACUUCUCUGCUGGACUCUGCAGUUGCACAAAAGCACCCUUCUCGGGCAACUUUCCUUUGAUGAUUUUCAAGGAAGCUGGGCUACGAAGUGGCAAAAGUCUCUAGGAAGCAGGAUGUCAGUGCCUCUGGGGAAACAGGUCUUUUUUACCGGCGUGGUGGCUAGCGGGGGCUGCGCCCUUUUGUACUACCUGAUACAGAAAACUUUUUCCAGGGCUUCCUAUUACCAGUUGGCGUUGGAGCAUCUGCACAGCCACCCUGAGGCACUGGAAGCUCUGGGCACUCCUCUCAGCGUUCACUAUCUCCGACUCACCGACAAGUACAACUUCGUGGACAUUACUGAUGCAAAGUUGAAGAUUCCUGUCUCUGGACCCAAGUCAGAGGGCUAUCUCUAUGUCAGCUCAUCCAGAGAUGCCCCCUUUAAGAGGUGGAACCUUCAGGAUGUCUUCUUAGAGCUCAAGGAUGGCCAGCAGAUUCCCUUGUUCAAGCCUAGUGGGGAGAACAGCAACGAGCUGAAAAAGGAGUGAAGUGCUGUAUACCUGCAGCCCACUACUUCCUGUGUGUCCAGUAAUCACUGUGAUUCAGCCAUGGACUCACCGUUUGAGCAAGUGUUCCCAGCACACCCCAUAAGAGUCAGCGCAGCAGUGACUGGAGAAAGGGCUUCACUAGAAUUGUAAGAAUUAUAGAUUUAUGAAGACUGCAGAAGAGCAAUCACAGCCAGCAAAUGGCAGUAGGGCUCCCACGCGCCUUUACUAAGCUGCUGUGUGGUCUCUGCUCACAAGCGGCUCACGUAAUACUGGACUAGGAGAGUUCCAAGCCGCGGUGCUAAAACGAGGCGGGAGAGAGACCGAUCAGGAGGAAUCCAGGAGGCCAGUCAGCUCACUCCUCCUCUUGGGGGACUGCUUACCUCAUGGGCUUUGAGAUCUAAGAUUGCAGACGUGAUGGAGACUGCCGUGCAGACAGAAAAAACAUGAGAACAGGCCUCAGCCGGGGAGGUGUGAGCUAUGCUCCAGAAAGAUGAUCUGCCAUCUGGCCAGUGUAUAGCUUAGCUGAAGAUACAGUAAAAGCCAGCCCUGGACAGGUGAGGUGCCCAGAGCGUGAAUGCCAGCCUUAGCAUUCUGCAUUGAGCUUGUAGCCAUCAGGUUCUGGAAUUUGGCUGCCCCCUGGCUUCUCUUCCUUCCAACCGUUCCCCACUCACCAAUCCAGGGAUUUAGUAAUACCUGAUGAGACAAGGUUCUGCUACUCCCAGUUUUGGUAAAGUUGCAUUCGGCAAAGAUGAAGCUAAGCUAAAUGACACCCACGUGAAGCAGCCAGCACGUCACCGAUGGUGGCCUCUGCCCCCUGGCACAGUGCUAAGGCCAGGGCGAUGCUCCGUUGACAGCGGCUCCACAGGGCUUUCUGAAGGCUGCUCGACUCUGCUGUUUCCAGUCUGUCGUAUGAAAAAUAUGAAGAAAUACUUACCAAUCGCUGGUCUUACAGGCGAGGCAGCGUUUAUACUGCUUGUUGGGAGGCUUGGGCAAAAGACGCUGUAUCCACAGGAGGCCCCGUGAAGGGGCUGGGGGGGCGGUCAAGGAGGAGGUGAGAGGGUGAUGACGGGAAGAGCCUCGCCUCCUCGGCAACCUGUACCCUCCAGGCUUGCCUUUCCGCCGACUUCAGCAGUUGCUCAGUCGAAAGUGCUGUCAGGAAUGUGUACAGAAAAACUGACAUUUUACGAUCCAGGGUUCAGAAGUGGGAGUUGAAAAUAUUAGAAACAUGCCUCAGUAUCAUAGAUCACAUGCGGUAUAUUAAAUGCCUUUCAUUAUUAAAUAAUGAGCAUUCAAGGCAGAACUAUUAUACUUAUCUUUUAAAUUUGUGUGUCAGUAAUUACCUUGCAGUCUUAAUAAGGUAAUUUCUUACUUCCAAAUUAUUUUUAUGAAGUAAGAAACUAUAGGCCAGUCCCUCUCAUGAAUGUUGCAAAAUUCUAAAUAAAAUAUUAGCAAACUGAAUCCAGUGACAUACAGUAAGUGGUAUAUCGUAUUUGUCACAAAAUAUUUUGGUGCCUCCCUUGCACUGCCUCCCUUCUCUAUGGGGAGAUUAUACUUCCCUGCCUGUUGAACUUACCAGUGACCGUGUGAUUUGUUCUGGCCAGUGAACUGUGAGUGGAAAUGACAUGCAACUUCUGAGUAAGAAGUUUUAAGUGCCAGCCCUUGGUUCGCCAUGUCUUGUUUGCUGUCUCCUGAGAUCGGAAAUGUUCCAGAUGGCAGCUAUUCCAAGGACCUGGGUUCUGGAAUGAAGAUGACAUGUAGCAGAGCUACAGCUGAGCCACAGUGGGACAGGGUAGCAUGAGCAAGAAAUAAACCCUUCUAAGCCCUGAAGAUUGGGGGCCAUUUUCACUCCAGCUUAACCAGACUGUUAACAGUGACUAAGAGAGGUUUAUUCCAGGAAUGCAAGGGUGGUUCCAUAUUAGGAGAGCCACUAGUAUAGUUCAUCACAUCAGUAAAGCUAAGGAGGAAAAUUAUAUGCUAAUUUUAAUAGAUACAAAAAGGCAUUUGACAAAAAUUAAGUAUUCAUAUUAAAAAUAAAUGAGAAUUAAUAGAUAAGGGAUGUGUGUGUGUGCAUAUAUAUAUUAUAUUCUCAAA
Eubalaena glacialis (North Atlantic right whale) is the source of this 2764-nucleotide RNA transcript. It is a transcript of the gene named cytochrome c oxidase assembly factor 1 homolog, with no coding region annotated. The record is from RefSeq and is a predicted model, not a curated record. Lineage: Eukaryota; Metazoa; Chordata; Mammalia; Artiodactyla; Balaenidae. The transcript is spliced from 9 exons.